GCGAAGAACCUUACCUGGGUUUGACAUAUACCGGAAAGCCGUAGAGAUACGGCCCCCCUUGUGGUCGAUAUACAGGUGGUGUAUGGCUGUCGUCAGCUCGUGUCGUGAGAUGUUGGGUUAAGUCCCGCAACGAGCGCAACCCUUGUCUUAUGUUGCCAGCACGUAAUGGUGGGGACUCGUAAGAGACUGCCGGGGUCAACUCGGAGGAAGGUGGGGACGACGUCAAGUCAUCAUGCCCCUUAUGUCCAGGGCUUCACACAUGCUACAAUGGCCGGUACAGAGGGCUGCGAUACCGUGAGGUGGAGCGAAUCCCUUAAAGCCGGUCUCAGUUCGGAUCGGGGUCUGCAACUCGACCCCGUGAAGUCGGAGUCGCUAGUAAUCGCAGAUCAGCAACGC
Molecule: ribosomal RNA, 396 nt
Filed under: uncultured Rhodococcus sp.
Lineage: Bacteria; Bacillati; Actinomycetota; Actinomycetes; Mycobacteriales; Nocardiaceae
Description: bacterial SSU rRNA
Rfam family: Bacterial small subunit ribosomal RNA
Source: RNAcentral